This is a small nucleolar RNA of Lemur catta (Ring-tailed lemur), 104 nucleotides long. RefSeq annotates it as small nucleolar RNA U13. The record is from RefSeq and is a predicted model, not a curated record. Lineage: Eukaryota; Metazoa; Chordata; Mammalia; Primates; Lemuridae. The transcript has a single exon.
AUCCUUUUGUGGCUCAUAAGCAUGAUGAUUGGGUUUUCAUGCUCGUAUGUGAGAUGUGCCUCCCUCAAACCUCGUUCUGAUGUCAGCAUAUUACCCGCCACACG